This is a long non-coding RNA of Magnolia sinica, 3649 nucleotides long. RefSeq lists it as uncharacterized. The transcript is spliced from 2 exons. The record is from RefSeq and is a predicted model, not a curated record. Lineage: Eukaryota; Viridiplantae; Streptophyta; Magnoliopsida; Magnoliales; Magnoliaceae.
UCUUUUUUUUUUUUUUUAAACAAAAAACUUUUUGCUGGCAAGUUGAGCCGUCUCCCUGUCUCUGUUCUUGUCUCCCUGUUUCUUAUCUCAUGCGAAUCUAUUGUAUUUUUAAGUGAUCGUUGUUGCUGAAAAUCUGUUGAUGUUGCUGGAAUCAGAUUUAGUGCAGGAUUAUUUUAUUGGGUGCUCAAAAUUUACAUGUAAUUACUUCUUCUUUUUUUUUGGGAAUGAUGUUGUGGGUGAUUACUACUCAAAAAUAAAUAAAUAAAUAAAUAUGCAGAUGAGUAUAUUGUGAAUUUGUGAUCAGAAUCAAAUUGGUGAUAUUCUAUACAUGCAUGUUAAAGAUGUAACUGAUCGGGUUCAUCUAAUCCCCUGCAUCGACUGUGUCAAUUUGGAAGCAAAUCAGCUCCCUACUUUGGGAGCUAACAAAUUUGAUCCUACAGUUAGAUUUUUUGGGUGUGGGUAGGAUUGGAGAGAAAAACUGGGCAUUAACGAGGAACGGGUAAUGGAGAUUUGGGGAAGAGCAGGAUGCCUUGUGGAGGGAGGUCAUUUUUGUGAAUAUGGGAUGUUGGGAAGAGGGGAUUGGUUCCCUGGGCUCCCUACUUGGAUCAUUUGCUCAAACGCGUGGGAGGGUAUUAGCUGCAUUGAUGGAAGAUCUGUUCAUAAUGGGUGGAACAUUUCUGAUGGAAUGGGAGAUAUUAUUUAUGAAGGAACCUGGUUUGUGGUUGGCCGCAGUGAUAUCAGCCCGCUUUUUCAAGGAUGCAUGGCUAGAUGAAACUCUGGCCAAAUCAUUCCCCCCGCUGUUCUCCGUAGUGGUUAAUCCCAAUGCCAAGAUUGAUUAAUGUUAUGAGACUCUUUCGCAGUUUAUAGCAUGGAAGGUGAAUCGCCGUCUCAUCAUCGGAACGUUUGUGAUGAUGAAGCAAGGGCUUUUGCUUUGCUUAUGGGAAAACUCGGUGAGCUCUCUUUUGUUCACUACUGUGGGAAGUGCCCAUUUUCUAAGUGUUUGAGCAUUUGCAUAGACAGCCAUGGCAAAAAGGAUCCUAUGAAUUGAUAGAUGGCGACCGGAAAGGGUUGAUUAAUCAGUAGGGAGAGGAGGAUUGUCCUUAUUAACUUAAAGAAAGCUUAUGAUACAGUCCCUACAAAGUUAAUUGGGUGGGUGUUGGGAAAGAAGAGGAGUUUCAAGAGGAUAUAUUGACAUGAUUAAGGAUAUGUACAAGGGAACAAUAACAAAUGUGAGGGCCACUAGUUGGCAAACAAGUGAGUAAACAAUUACCCUAGGCUUGCAAUAGGGGUUGGCAUCUUUUUGCAUUGACUAUGGACAAGUUAGCAAGGCAUAUGCAGGAAGAGAUCUCAUGGCGUAUGGUGUUUGUAGAUGGCAGUUUUUAUUGACAAGACGAGGGAGGGCAUAAACAAAAAGCUAGAUUAGUGGAUGGUGCUUUAGAAUAUAAAGGAUUAAAAUUAGUUAGACUAAAACGGAGAGAAUGCAGUGCAAUGUUGGUAACAAUGGGAGUGGGAACGAGGAAUUAUUUAAGAUUGGUGGCCAAGAAGUUUCCCAAAAUGACCACUUUCAAUAUCUUGGGUCGGUAAUUCAUGAGAGUGGGGAGAUUGAGAAGGAUGGUGGCUAUAGAAUUUUAAGCUGGGUGGAAGAGAAGGAUGGUGGCUAUAGAAUUUUAAGCUGGGUGGAAGAGAAGGAUGGUGGCUAUAGAAUUUUAAGCUGGGUGGAAGAAAUGGAGAUGUGCCUCUGGAGUUUUUUAUAAUUGUCGUGUAUCACUCAAAGUGAAAGGGAAAUUUUAGAGGAGGUCUAUAAGACCAGCCAUGCUUUAUGGGACAAUGUUGGGCAGUUAAGGAAUAACAUGCUCAUAGGAUGAGUGUUGCUGAAAUGAGCAUGCUGAGAUGGAUGAGUGGCAAGACAAGGAUAGAAUUAGAAAUGAAUGCAUUUGAGGGAAUUUAGGAGAAGCGCCAAUAGGUAAUAAGAUGAGGGAAAGUAGUCUUAGAUAGUUUAGUCAUGUGCAAUGAAGACCAAGAACUCUGCUGGUUAUGAGUGAAUUGGUACAAGUUGAAGGCUCUAAAAGGGCAAGGGGAAGGCCCAAAAGGCUGUGGGUAGAGGUAGUGAGAAAAGACUUGGUGACCUACGGUCUAACUGAAGUUAUGGUCCUUGGUAGAGUGGAAUGGCAGAAAAGGAUUCAUUUUUAGCCAACCCCAAUUAGUUGGCAUAAUGCUUAGACGAUGAUUUCUAGAAAGGAGGUAGAACCUGUGGACCAUCUGUUUCUGCAUUGUGGGACUGCUAGGGCUGUAUGGGACUUUUUUUUCUUCUGAUUUUUGAGGUUUGUUGGGUGCUCAAUAGAUCAAUUUCUGAGGUGAUUGCUGACUGGAAAAAUGGACCUUUCUCAGUGAGGGGCAGAUCAAUUUGGAAUCUGUUUCCAAUUUUUCUGUGGGGCUUAAGGGAAGAGAGAGAUGCGAGAAGUUUUUAAAGGAAAAUAUGCUGUAUUGCCUCCCUCAAAAGCUCAAUUGCCACACUGGCCUUUGAAUGGUCUAUUCUGUCUUGCAUUCCAUGGGAUGUCCAUGGUGGAGUUUUGUAAUGAUUGGGAAAUGUUGCGGUUGGGUAAUUGGGAUCCUCUCGUUCUGUUUCUUCUUCUUCUUCUUCUUUUUGCUUUUCUUAUCUGCUUUUAUUUUUAUUUUUUGGCCAAUGUUGAGUGACUAUAAGGUCAUCUUCUGCUAUUGGUCUUUAUGUAUUUCCUUUCUUAUGGUUUAAUGAAAUAGUGAUCUUCUCCAAAAAAGAAGAAGAUUUUAUCUCACAAUCGGAUUUACUUUUCUUUUUCUUUUUUUUGCUGUGCAGUCAGAUUCAGGGUUGUAUUUCAGUCUAGUUUUAAAUCAACUUCUAGAUUUAGAUUAUCAAGAUGGCAGAAGUAGAGCUAGUUCUGUUGAUGGAAGGAGAACCAGCAAACAAUUACAAAAAAGGCCAUGAUGUGUAGCAUGUGCUGUAAAUUUUUUAUUGGUCACAAUAAGAUAUGAAAUGAAGUACAUUGAGAUGGUUUGGUCAUGUAACUGGAGAAGGCUCCUCUGAUAAGGAGUGGAGUUCUAGUUAUGACACCGAAAAGAGAUGAAAUAAAGAUAAAAACCACCUGGAUCAAGGUGUUGGAAAGGGGGCCGUUUGUGUGUGUGGCCUUCUCUCUUCUUUCUUUCUUCCUCUUCUUUUUUUCCUUUCAUUUUUUAUUUUUCCUUUCCUUUUAUUUUAUUUUUUUACAUCUUUUGAGCCUUAGGUAGGAAUGAUUGGUGAAACAAGAUUUGUGAAGCUAAAUUCCAGAUGGUCAGGACGAAGGCUGUGAUGGUGAUAAUGAUGAAUUGCAUAGUAGAAGGUCAACCCCUUCUUGGACAUUUCACUUUGUUCCCUUUGAGAUCAAUGUUGGUACACCUUUCAGGAUGAGUGCAGGACUGUCGUGGAUGGUCUAACCCUGAUCGGAUUCUAUGAUUUGAACUAGGAUGAGAGUCGUCCAUUCGACCCAGCUAAAAGAUUGGGGAAAAGACAUUCAGGAGGGAAUUCAAGGUGGACCUUUUAGCUCAUCAAUGAGUCUGCCUAGGCUGUCUCUACUUUUGUGGGAGUAACCUUUGUAAAAUUCUCCCUUGUCUGCUUGAUAAACUCUUCCAUAAUUCA